RNAcentral lists this transfer RNA (71 nucleotides) under Loxodonta africana (African savanna elephant). It matches the Rfam family "tRNA". From Rfam's summary of the family: Transfer RNA (tRNA) molecules are approximately 80 nucleotides in length. Their secondary structure includes four short double-helical elements and three loops (D, anti-codon, and T loops). The record is from Rfam by way of RNAcentral. Lineage: Eukaryota; Metazoa; Chordata; Mammalia; Proboscidea; Elephantidae.
GCAGCAGUGGUUCAGUGGUAGAAUUCCCGCCUUCCAUUCAGGAGACCUGGGUUUGAUUCCUGGUCUAUGCA